GUAAAAAGUAGAAUAAUAGAUUUGAAAUAUUUAUUAUAUAGAUUUAAAGAGAUAAUCAUGGAGUAUAAUAAUUAAAUUUAAUAAAUUUAAUAUAACUAUUAAUAGAAUUAGGUUACUAAUAAAUUAAUAACAAUUAAUUUUAAAACCUAAAGGUAAACCUUUAUAUUAAUAAUGUUAUUUUUUAUUAUUUUUAUAAUAAGAAUAAUUAUUAAUAAUAAUAAACUAAGUGAACUGAAACAUCUAAGUAACUUAAGGAUAAGAAAUCAACAGAGAUAUUAUGAGUAUUGGUGAGAGAAAAUAAUAAAGGUCUAAUAAGUAUUAUGUGAAAAAAAUGUAAGAAAAUAGGAUAACAAAUUCUAAGACUAAAUACUAUUAAUAAGUAUAGUAAGUACCGUAAGGGAAAGUAUGAAAAUGAUUAUUUUAUAAGCAAUCAUGAAUAUAUUAUAUUAUAUUAAUGAUGUACCUUUUGUAUAAUGGGUCAGCAAGUAAUUAAUAUUAGUAAAACAAUAAGUUAUAAAUAAAUAGAAUAAUAUAUAUAUAUAAAAAAAUAUAUUAAAAUAUUUAAUUAAUAUUAAUUGACCCGAAAGCAAACGAUCUAACUAUGAUAAGAUGGAUAAACGAUCGAACAGGUUGAUGUUGCAAUAUCAUCUGAUUAAUUGUGGUUAGUAGUGAAAGACAAAUCUGGUUUGCAGAUAGCUGGUUUUCUAUGAAAUAUAUGUAAGUAUAGCCUUUAUAAAUAAUAAUUAUUAUAUAAUAUUAUAUUAAUAUUAUAUAAAGAAUGGUACAGCAAUUAAUAUAUAUUAGGGAACUAUUAAAGUUUUAUUAAUAAUAUUAAAUCUCGAAAUAUUUAAUUAUAUAUAAUAAAGAGUCAGAUUAUGUGCGAUAAGGUAAAUAAUCUAAAGGGAAACAGCCCAGAUUAAGAUAUAAAGUUCCUAAUAAAUAAUAAGUGAAAUAAAUAUUAAAAUAUUAUAAUAUAAUCAGUUAAUGGGUUUGACAAUAACCAUUUUUUAAUGAACAUGUAACAAUGCACUGAUUUAUAAUAAAUAAAAAAAAAUAAUAUUUAAAAUCAAAUAUAUAUAUAUUUGUUAAUAGAUAAUAUACGGAUCUUAAUAAUAAGAAUUAUUUAAUUCCUAAUAUGGAAUAUUAUAUUUUUAUAAUAAAAAUAUAAAUACUGAAUAUCUAAAUAUUAUUAUUACUUUUUUUUUAAUAAUAAUAAUAUGGUAAUAGAACAUUUAAUGAUAAUAUAUAUUAGUUAUUAAUUAAUAUAUGUAUUAAUUAAAUAGAGAAUGCUGACAUGAGUAACGAAAAAAAGGUAUAAACCUUUUCACCUAAAACAUAAGGUUUAACUAUAAAAGUACGGCCCCUAAUUAAAUUAAUAAAAAUAUAAAUAUAUUUAAGAUGGGAUAAUCUAUAUUAAUAAAAAUUUAUCUUAAAAUAUAUAUAUUAUUAAUAAUUAUAUUAAUUAAUUAAUAAUAUAUAUAAUUAUAUUAUAUAUUAUAUAUUUUUUAUAUAAUAUAAACUAAUAAAGAUCAGGAAAUAAUUAAUGUAUACCGUAAUGUAGACCGACUCAGGUAUGUAAGUAGAGAAUAUGAAGGUGAAUUAGAUAAUUAAAGGGAAGGAACUCGGCAAAGAUAGCUCAUAAGUUAGUCAAUAAAGAGUAAUAAGAACAAAGUUGUACAACUGUUUACUAAAAACACCGCACUUUGCAGAAACGAUAAGUUUAAGUAUAAGGUGUGAACUCUGCUCCAUGCUUAAUAUAUAAAUAAAAUUAUUUAACGAUAAUUUAAUUAAAUUUAGGUAAAUAGCAGCCUUAUUAUGAGGGUUAUAAUGUAGCGAAAUUCCUUGGCCUAUAAUUGAGGUCCCGCAUGAAUGACGUAAUGAUACAACAACUGUCUCCCCUUUAAGCUAAGUGAAAUUGAAAUCGUAGUGAAGAUGCUAUGUACCUUCAGCAAGACGGAAAGACCCUAUGCAGCUUUACUGUAAUUAGAUAGAUCGAAUUAUUGUUUAUUAUAUUCAGCAUAUUAAGUAAUCCUAUUAUUAGGUAAUCGUUUAGAUAUUAAUGAGAUACUUAUUAUAAUAUAAUGAUAAUUCUAAUCUUAUAAAUAAUUAUUAUUAUUAUUAUUAAUAAUAAUAAUAUGCUUUCAAGCAUAGUGAUAAAACAUAUUUAUAUGAUAAUCACUUUACUUAAUAGAUAUAAUUCUUAAGUAAUAUAUAAUAUAUAUUUUAUAUAUAUUAUAUAUAAUAUAAGAGACAAUCUCUAAUUGGUAGUUUUGAUGGGGCGUCAUUAUCAGCAAAAGUAUCUGAAUAAGUCCAUAAAUAAAUAUAUAAAAUUAUUGAAUAAAAAAAAAAUAAUAUAUAUUAUAUAUAUUAAUUAUAAAUUGAAAUAUGUUUAUAUAAAUUUAUAUUUAUUGAAUAUAUUUUAGUAAUAGAUAAAAAUAUGUACAGUAAAAUUGUAAGGAAAACAAUAAUAACUUUCUCCUCUCUCGGUGGGGGUUCACACCUAUUUUUAAUAGGUGUGAACCCCUCUUCGGGGUUCCGGUUCCCUUUCGGGUCCCGGAACUUAAAUAAAAAUGGAAAGAAUUAAAUUAAUAUAAUGGUAUAACUGUGCGAUAAUUGUAACACAAACGAGUGAAACAAGUACGUAAGUAUGGCAUAAUGAACAAAUAACACUGAUUGUAAAGGUUAUUGAUAACGAAUAAAAGUUACGCUAGGGAUAACAGGGUAAUAUAGCGAAAGAGUAGAUAUUGUAAGCUAUGUUUGCCACCUCGAUGUCGACUCAACAUUUCCUCUUGGUUGUAAAAGCUAAGAAGGGUUUGACUGUUCGUCAAUUAAAAUGUUACGUGAGUUGGGUUAAAUACGAUGUGAAUCAGUAUGGUUCCUAUCUGCUGAAGGAAAUAUUAUCAAAUUAAAUCUCAUUAUUAGUACGCAAGGACCAUAAUGAAUCAACCCAUGGUGUAUCUAUUGAUAAUAAUAUAAUAUAUUUAAUAAAAAUAAUACUUUAUUAAUAUAUUAUCUAUAUUAGUUUAUAUUUUAAUUAUAUAUUAUCAUAGUAGAUAAGCUAAGUUGAUAAUAAAUAAAUAUUGAAUACAUAUUAAAUAUGAAGUUGUUUUAAUAAGAUAAUUAAUCUGAUAAUUUUAUACUAAAAUUAAUAAUUAUAGGUUUUAUAUAUUAUUUAUAAAUAAAUAUAUUAUAAUAAUAAUAAUUAUUAUUAUUAAUAAAAAAUAUUAAUUAUAAUAUUAAUAAAAUACUAAUUUAUCAGUUAUCUAUAUAAUAUCUAAUCUAUUAUUCUAUAUACU
RNAcentral lists this ribosomal RNA (3296 nucleotides) under Saccharomyces cerevisiae (brewer's yeast). RNAcentral's name for it is "21S ribosomal RNA from Saccharomyces cerevisiae (PDB 5MRF, chain A)". The stretch from base 186 to 3136 matches the Rfam family "Bacterial large subunit ribosomal RNA". The record is from RNAcentral. Lineage: Eukaryota; Fungi; Ascomycota; Saccharomycetes; Saccharomycetales; Saccharomycetaceae.